AGGAUGGCGUCAGCCAGUGGCAAGCUCAGUGACGACACUGCUAGGGUGGCCACUUUCCACGGUGCUGGUCCAGUGGGCACAGAACUUCGAACUCGGCAUAUUUUAUUUGGACGAAGAAGCAAACUCCAAGCCUACAACACUUGCCUAAAGGGACAGCCAUCCUGGAGUGGUUGACCAGCUAAAUGUCAACCUGACUGGAGGCUUCUCUUCCUUGAAACUGACAUGGCGUGAUGAUGGACAACACACGUGCUACCGGUCUCAGUGAAGAUCGGCAAUCCUGGCGGCUGUAUGAAGUGCUUCCCAUCACUUGAUGGCAGCUAUGUAGAGCAUCACAUACAUUUUCCAAGCAGCUUCUCUACAAUGGAGAGGCUUUCCUGGCAACUUUUUCGCUAUGGUCAGCGCUUGCCUCUGACGGCUCAGCAGGUCACUCCUACUGUGCUGUGCCACCAGACGAAUAUGGUGAUCGUCUGUUCUUUGUGAACUACACCCAACCGAAUCCACCCGGACAGACUCGCCCAACCUACGGUGCAUGUACAUUAUCAAUGGUAAUGUCAACCCUAGGUGACUACUUAAUGUUCCGGCUGUUUGACACUGUCGUCUUUAGCGAGCGAAGGAGUACUAACAGGAACAACGAUCACCUUCCGCCUAUCUACACCUCGCAGGUGUGUAAGUGCUUUUCUUUAUACGCUGAACAAAAGUGACAAUCUCUGUCUGCUGCUACUUUCACGCCCACAUGUCCUUUGGGAUAUUAUUUGCGAGUGUUUUGAUAUGCAUGUCUGUGUUUUGUGGCAACAUUGAAAAUAAUCCUGCGCCUACUACUCUGUCAGAACAUCUUCUUGAAACUCGGUCAUUACCUGAUAAGCCCUCGGAACAAAUAACAGUCCUUUUUCAGCUACUGAAGAUGUUUGGUCGCAAUCUAUUCAGUCCUCAAGAAGCCAGACUGAAUUGGUUGCCAAUGUCAAAGCAAUCAAGGCCAGUAAAAAAAAUAGCUGAAUUAAUAUUGGCUGUAUUCAAGAAAGACUAGAUGCUCUUUAAGAAAAAGCAAAUUCACUUGAACAGUUUAAGGAACAUGUUGCAGUUCUCCAAAAAAUCUAUAUAUAGACCUGGAACACACAACUUGAUUCUUUGCAAUCUCGUUUUAAAGGGGCCCUGCAACACUUUUUCAACGUGAUCAGAAAAUGCUGCUAAUCGGUAGUUGAAGCUCCAGAGAACACGCGAGCCAAACAUUUAUAGCGCAGCACGCGGCCUGGAAUUUACAGUUAAUUCUUAAAGUCAGCUAGAAAUCGUUCCCUCUUCUCUUGGUGAACAAUGCUUUUAAACCUAA
Molecule: long non-coding RNA, 1324 nt
Organism: Rhipicephalus sanguineus (brown dog tick)
Lineage: Eukaryota; Metazoa; Arthropoda; Arachnida; Ixodida; Ixodidae
Exons: 3
Source: RefSeq, a predicted model, not a curated record